This 107-nucleotide ribosomal RNA is filed under the name Chloroflexota bacterium. RNAcentral describes it as "partial 16S ribosomal RNA". It matches the Rfam family "Bacterial small subunit ribosomal RNA", at positions 1435 to 1533 of the family's 1533-position model. Lineage: Bacteria; Bacillati; Chloroflexota. The record is from RNAcentral.
CUAACCUUUUAGGAGGUAGCCGUCCACGGUAGGAUCAGCGACUGGUGCUAAGUCGUAACAAGGUAGCCGUAUCGGAAGGUGCGGCUGGAUCACCUCCUUUCUAAGGA